Molecule: long non-coding RNA, 405 nt
Organism: Neofelis nebulosa (Clouded leopard)
Lineage: Eukaryota; Metazoa; Chordata; Mammalia; Carnivora; Felidae
Exons: 3
Source: RefSeq, a predicted model, not a curated record
UGUGGUAGCUGCACAUUAACUGUGACCCUGCUCCACAUACAUUCUUCAUCCCAGAACCUAAGGAGAAGAAGCAGCCUUUCCUUGCUACAUAUCUUUCUCAUUGCAGAAGAAAAUGAAGACGGUUGAAUCGUACAUGACUCAAAACUUCAGACAUGACCUGCUGAACUGCACAGCUCUAAGGACUAUAUGAGCCAGGCUUCAGCUGGCUGCUGACCAGAGCUUCAGUAUGAAGCAAGUGCUCAUUAAGCACAACGAAGUUCAGACAUGAAUCCACUUCCCCAAAACCCACCUGUGAGCACAGUCAUCUCAUUUCCAAGCAACGAUUAGUUUCUGGUCAGUAUCUCGUACCAAAGGUCUGUGGAUCUGCCAUGGCAUCAUCAUUAAGCUAUCAGGUAUGUCUUCAAC